UACAGAGGUCUCAAGCGUUGUUCGGAUUCAUUGGGCGUAAAGGGCGCGUAGGCGGCAAGGCAAGUCGGGUGUGAAAGCUUGGGGCUUAACCCCGAAAAGGCACUCGAAACUGCGUUGCUAGAGGGCCGGAGAGGAGAUCGGAAUUCACGGUGUAGCAGUGAAAUGCGUAGAGCUCGUGAGGAAGACCGGUGGCGAAGGCGGAUCUCUGGACGGCCCCUGACGCUGAGGCGCGAAGGCUAGGGGAGCAAACGGG
This 253-nucleotide ribosomal RNA is filed under the name uncultured bacterium. RNAcentral's name for it is "partial 16S ribosomal RNA". It matches the Rfam family "Bacterial small subunit ribosomal RNA", at positions 524 to 776 of the family's 1533-position model. The record is from RNAcentral.